CAGUUGAUACUGGGGACCUGNAGUGCGGCAGAGGCAGGCGGAAUUCGUGGUGUAGCGGUGAAAUGCUUAGAUAUCACGAAGAACUCCGAUUGCGAAGGCAGCUUGCUGGACCGUAACUGACGUUGAUGCUCGAAAGUGCGGGUAUCAAACAGGAUUAGAUACCCUGGUAGUCCGCACAGUAAACGAUGAAUACUCGCUGUUGGCGAUAUACUGCCAGCGGCCAAGCGAAAGCGUUAAGUAUUCCACCUGGGGAGUACGCCGGCAACGGUGAAACUCAAAGGAAUUGACGGGGGCCCGCACAAGCGGAGGAACAUGUGGUUUAAUUCGAUGAUACGCGAGGAACCUUACCCGGGCUUGAACUGCAGCGGAAUGAUUUGGAAACAGAUCAGCGAGCAAUCGCCGCUGUGGAGGUGCUGCAUGGUUGUCGUCAGCUCGUGCCGUGAGGUGUCGGCUUAAGUGCCAUAACGAGCGCAACCCUUACCGAUAGUUGCCAUCAGGUGACGCUGGGGACUCUAUCGGGACUGCCGUCGUAAGAUGUGAGGAAGGUGGGGAUGACGUCAAAUCAGCACGGCCCUUACGUCCGGGGCUACACACGUGUUACAAUGGGGGGUACAGCAGGCCGCUACCGGGCGACCGGAUGCCAAUCCCUAAAACCCCUCUCAGUUCGGACUGGAGUCUGCAACCCGACUCCACGAAGCUGGAUUCGCUAGUAAUCGCGCAUCAGCCACGGCGCGGUGAAUACGUUCCCGGGCCUUGUACACACCGCCCGUCAAGCCAUG
RNAcentral lists this ribosomal RNA (779 nucleotides) under uncultured bacterium. Its description in RNAcentral is "bacterial SSU rRNA". It matches the Rfam family "Bacterial small subunit ribosomal RNA", at positions 624 to 1406 of the family's 1533-position model. The record is from RNAcentral.